Molecule: long non-coding RNA, 1129 nt
Organism: Hemicordylus capensis (graceful crag lizard)
Lineage: Eukaryota; Metazoa; Chordata; Lepidosauria; Squamata; Cordylidae
Exons: 6
Source: RefSeq, a predicted model, not a curated record
AGAACGCCGCCAUCUUUAAGAUCGCGCGAGAACUGCGGCCAGGACUACAUGGGAGUGAAUCUGAAUCUGAAAAGCACUGCAGGCCAGCGAGCUUCAAAGUUCAAACCCAUGCAACAGAGAUAUGAAAAUACUAGAGGGACACAUCUCAGGGUCGCUUUCGGGUUUUGUAACGGAAGUCUUUUGUGCCUAUUUGUUUUAAUGAGAGGUUAACACUCAUUGGAGUUUUACAGAACUCAAUGGAGGAAUCCCUGCGCAACUCUGGCAGUAGCGUCUCCACUCACAAACAAAAGAUUCGCAGCAAAGGCAAAAGUUCAUACUCUUUUUUUCACUCAGGUCUUGUUUCGUGUGGGAAAGGUGGUUUCUAGCUCCCACUGAGAAUAAUGAGCAAUGAAGGCUUUAUUAGACGUUCAGACUGUGUGGCACUCUAGCUUUUUCCUACAUUUGUGGCUCCAAUGGUUUUGAUCUCUCAUGGUUGAAAAGGAAGGGGCGGGAGAAUUCGAACAACAGUUACAUUCUCGGAAGGCACGCAGCACAGCUGUCGUUUGCAGCGCCACCUAUUGGGUAAAAAUGAGUGAAGGAGGCAAGCAAAGCGAGGCAGCAGGUGUGGCACCAUGAUUAUGAUUCCCUAGCCGCAAGAGAAAGCUAUGAUGGUACCUCUUCAAAGACAUGUUUUUCUUUAUGACGUCGUAUGUCCCAUGGAUGAGUCCUGGCAAGGAAAACAAGUUUAGGGAUAAGCCCUCACCAAAUCUAUGCUCAGAAUAGGUGGCAUAUAUACUUCUUUGGUGUGUUCUCUGUCUGUCACACAACCCAUAUGUGACCACCAUAAGAACCUCAGUUACAGGCAGCUGCAGUAAUGAAGAAUCAGACAGCACUACCUUGUAGGAAAAGGUAAAGCAGAGGAAAAAUUCCAAAGACCUGAUCGAGUGGUGGUUGAUGAAAGACUGAGGCUUCCAUAGACAUGGAAGAUUUGAAGAAGGGAAAAAUCAUAAAUAUGGCUAAAUCCUGGAUCUUGGAUAACACAAAAAGAAAACAGACAGCCUUGAAAGAAGAUUGCUUGGUAAUUUAUUUACAACAGAAUGUAAGAAAAGGCAAAUUUAAAAACAAUAAUAAAUAAAUGAAAAAGCAAGAA